GGGGCCGACCUGGUUUCGACGUGGGUCAGGAAGUGGGUCAGGGCAUGCCGAGGCCUCGUUACCUCGUAAAUCCAGCGGGAAAUUAAUAAACGCAAACGAAGAGCGUUUCGCUCUCGCCGCCUAAUCCCGGCGAGCGCCACACCAACUUGCUGAUGGGUUGGGUCAGAUUCGGGUAACUGGGUCUGGCAGUGGUG
Molecule: transfer-messenger RNA, 194 nt
Filed under: Betaproteobacteria bacterium
Lineage: Bacteria; Pseudomonadati; Pseudomonadota; Betaproteobacteria
Description: partial transfer-messenger RNA
Rfam family: transfer-messenger RNA
About the family: Bacterial tmRNA, also known as 10Sa RNA or SsrA, is named for its dual tRNA and mRNA-like properties. Its role is to liberate the mRNA from a stalled ribosome.
Source: RNAcentral